GGCGGGCGAGGCCGAGCGCCCCGCUCCGCCGUGCGUUCGCCGCGCGCGCCCGCUGCCCUCGGGCGCCCGGGAAACUUCGCGGCCGGGGCGCGGGGAGAGCCGGCUGGCUCCGUCGGCAGCACGGUUCCCAGACUGAGGACGGGGGCUCCAGGUGGGAUCCAUAUGUGAUGACAAGAGCUGUAGCGGCCACCUUGGAGUCAAGGAUGAAGGUCAUAUCUGGAGGAUGAUAGCAUCAUCUGAUCUUUGAUCUGUUACAAGAUCUCACAUUGGAGCAUAUUUGCUUGCCUCAUUGUUUUCCAUACGUAUUACUCCAUGGUAUGUGAAGUGAAAGACUGUCUCAUUCCAAUACCUAAGAAUCAUAAUAUGCAUUAACGUAUUAUCGUCUCUCGGAAGUUUUGCAGUAAAGAAAGACUUCAACCUCAGUUUCCAAAUAUGUUGGACCAUGAAAUAUCCUUGGGCUGAAUCAAAACCAGAAAUAGGAAUUGAACCACCAUAUUGUGAACAGCCCUAUGGAGAGAUUUACGUGGCAGGAACUGAGACCUCUUGGCCACAGCCCAUGAGGGCCUGAGACCUGCCAACUGCCAAGGGAGUGACGGUGGAAGUGGAUCCUUCUCCAUUCAAGCCUUGAGGUGCCCACAGCCCUGCUGAUGCUGUGAUGACAAUCUUUGAGACACUGAGUCAGAGGCUGUGCCUCACAGAGACUGUGAGGUAACGUUUGUUGUUAAAAGCUGCUAAAUUUGGGGAUAAUUUGUCACGUAGCAAAGGAGAACAAAUACAUCAUCAAACUGGAAGAACUAUUUUGCAACCGAAGCACGGUACUAAGACACCAAGUUUCCUCUAUCUUUUGCACGUGUGAGCUUUGCCAGUGAACUCACUUAACCUUUCUGGCUUCCAUUUCCUCAUCCGUCAUAUGGGGAUAGUAAACCCCAAAACCCCAUACAAUUGUUCAUUUAUUUAACCUUUCCUAUAAAACUAGUUAGAGAGUGUCCUACUCCACAAAGUGGCUCCAUUUCUUGCUUGUGGAAAGAAAGCACCUUUGUGAGGCUGUGGAAGAUAAAAUACCAGGUUUUGAAAUGCAGGUUUUGUUUUGGGAAGACUCAAAUUAAAUCAGUGUGCUCAUCCUGACUUUGUUAAAUAAGAAUUCGAGGCCAAAUAUGUGUAAGUGUGGCAGGAUUUUUUUAUUUUUAUUUUUUUUUUACCUCAUUACCCCGGAUUCAUUGUCUCUCCACUUCAAAGAAUGAAGAUGUGGAUACAAAAUAAAUGAGCAACCGGCAAAACUUUGUUAGAACAUAAUAAGAUCAGAGGUAGGAAUAGUAGGAAAGCUCUCUUUACAGAAUGGGAGCAUUCGAAAGUGAAUGCCCCUGGAGUGUAGGCAAGGGACUCUGUUUUAUAGGAUUUGGGUCCAGCCCUUACCUUCCCCCUUGUUCCUUCUCCGUUUUUACCCUUAUUGGCUAGGUAACUCUAAAUCCCUACUCUCUCCUUUUUGAUUGGCUCGCUUCCAUUGUAUGAGGGGUGGUCAGUAGCCUUACCAUUCCUCAUGGGUCAUACAUUUUAUGGUCCAGUACUUACUUUUAUUUGGGUCCUUUGUCACAUUCCUGAGGGAAACCUGAGGGGGUGGUGUUUGUUACAUUCUUAAGAGAAACUUGACGCCUGAGGGAAUUUGCUCAAGGUCAGACAUUCCCAGCAUUGUUUUAAAAUGUGUGUUUCCCCCACCCAGGGACCUCGGGUCCUGACCUUUCCCUCUCUGCCUAGUGUAUCCUAGGUUUCCCUGUCAAAUAAGUCCUACUCGCCUGUUACCUCCUCCGCAAGGUCUUCCCUGAUAAGCCUGGGUGAAGCAGCCCCCCCUACUCCCAACCCCUAUUUCUGCUCCCAUCUUUUCAUCGCACUAAGCAGUAAUGCAAUUUGUUGCAGUCGUUUGUUUCUGGUCUGCUCCUCCCUCGAUUUUGUGAGGGCAGGAACCUCUCUGCCUUAGUCACUGCCAGCACACUGCCAGCGUGAAGUCGGAGCUCUAUAUAUGUGUUGCCUGCCUGAAAGGGGUGGGAGUGUGUUUGCUGCCUUCGUGAUCUUGCCAAGAGCUAGUUGCUGAGCGUUUCAGGUGAAGCACUUGGUUAAAAGUAAAGAAAUCAUCGUUAUGUUCAAUUUAGGAUUUUUCUGGUGUUCAUAGGAUUCAGGAUUGAGAAAUUGCAGAAGGCUCUGGAUAGAAGCCAGUGAAGAGUUACAAAAAUCAUUGCAAAAUCUUAGCCCCAGAAGCUUUAGAAAACGAGAGAUGGACCAACAGUCUUGAGGCCCUUCUACCUGCUAGCACCCUUUGAAACAUUCCAAAACAUUUGUUAUUUCAAGGGGGGCACUUGCCCUGUUCUCCCCUCACCCCAUUUUUUUUUUGUCAUUGUUACCAUUUGUUCUGGAAAUAGACCUAUUACUGGUUUAUGGUGGCUAAAUACAGACUUUCAGAGCCUUCAACUGAGAAAAUGAAAGCCUAACUUCCAAAACUCUUCUUUGGAUGCAUUAAUUUUCUUCCACUGAACCUUCAUUUAUCCUCCUCCUACUAGAACACAUCCUUUGUUUAGUGAGUAUGUGUGUGUGAUGGGGGUGGUUAGGGAGCUGUGAAAAGGAAGAAUGAAGGGAAGUGUGGAUAUAUUCAGAUUUUUAUUUAAGUACCAUAGUUAAAAAGUAUUCUCAUGUAACAUUCUGGAAAAAGUGCAGGACUUAAUGUCACUUCAUUGGAGACUCCAAAAGGAUGGCGUAUAGUUGUAUUAAAUGAAUUGCUUCAGAAAGAAGGCUUAAAAAAUAACCUCAACCCUUCUUAAUCUCAGGGACUUCACUAAGCCUUUAGCCUUUAAAAAAAAAAAAAGUCUAGCCUUUUCAUUUAUUUUCCUUCUAAAAUAAACAUCACAAGAUGAAAAAUUAAUUUCAACUUUUCAUAGAGGUGGCAAGGGGGGGCUGUCUUCCUUCGCCCUUAACCCUUCUUCCCUCAGGCAUGAUUCUGGAGCUGAAUAAAGACAAUAUGUUCCAAAUUGCCAAUCACAUUAGUCUCUGUGUGGGCUGCUUAAAACAUGCAAAUGGCUCUGAAAAAUGUCUCUCAUCCUACAAAGAUAAAUGAAGGUGUGUAUCACCAUCAAUUGCAGUAGAAGUCAAAGGAGGACAGAAAGCACUGAUAAACGAGACGUCUUUGCCUUUCCCCAUAGACAAACAUUCUGUGAGGAAACAUGAGUGUUGAUGGAUUACAUCAGCCUCCUGACCUUACACAUACCUGUAGCCUUCACUGCAGCCUAUCCUCCCCAGCACUGCAGACACAUCUUCCUAAAGGAUAGUUUUGUUUACUUAACUCCUGUGCUCAAACACCUUCACUGGCUCCCUAUUGCCCUUUUCAAACCAGUGUUCAAGGCCUCAUUAACCUUGCCAUCCUUAUUACCCACAGCCUCUCAAAGUAGAUCUUACAGGGGUGCCUGGGUGGCUCAGUCGGUUAAGCGUCCGACUUUGGCUCAGGUCAUGAUCUCCCGGCUCAUGGGUUUGAGCCCCGCGUCAG
Long non-coding RNA from Felis catus (domestic cat), 3526 nucleotides. RefSeq lists it as uncharacterized. Lineage: Eukaryota; Metazoa; Chordata; Mammalia; Carnivora; Felidae. The record is from RefSeq and is a predicted model, not a curated record. The transcript is spliced from 5 exons.